This 580-nucleotide ribosomal RNA is filed under the name uncultured bacterium. RNAcentral's name for it is "bacterial SSU rRNA". It matches the Rfam family "Bacterial small subunit ribosomal RNA", at positions 347 to 917 of the family's 1533-position model. The record is from RNAcentral.
AUUAGCAGUGAGGAAUAUUGCGCAAUGGGGGAAACCCUGACGCAGCGACGCCGCGUGGGUGAGGAAGGCUUUCGGGUCGUAAAGCCCUGUCAGAAGGGAAGAAGUGCUUAUGGGUUAAUAUCCUGUAAGUUUGACGGUACCUUCAAAGGAAGCACCGGCUAACUCCGUGCCAGCAGCCGCGGUAAUACGGAGGGUGCAAGCGUUGUUCGGAAUCACUGGGCGUAAAGGGAGCGCAGGCUGUUUUGCAAGUCAGAUGUGAAAGCCCACGGCUUAACCGUGGAAGUGCAUUUGAAACUGCAAGACUUGAGUAUCAGAGGGGAAAGUGGAAUUCCCGGUGUAGAGGUGAAAUUCGUAGAUAUCGGGAGGAAUACCGGUGGCGAAGGCGACUUUCUGGCUGAAUACUGACGCUGAGGCUCGAAAGCGUGGGGAGCAAACAGGAUUAGAUACCCUGGUAGUCCACGCCGUAAACGAUGUCAACUAGCCGUCGGACUCAUUUAAGAGCUUGGUGGCGCAGCUAACGCGAUAAGUUGACCGCCUGGGGAGUACGGCCGCAAGGUUAAAACUCAAAGGAAUUGACGGA